Long non-coding RNA from Brassica napus (rape), 1650 nucleotides. RefSeq lists it as uncharacterized. The record is from RefSeq and is a predicted model, not a curated record. Lineage: Eukaryota; Viridiplantae; Streptophyta; Magnoliopsida; Brassicales; Brassicaceae. The transcript has 2 exons.
UUCAUGAUUUACUAACCGUACUUGUCGAUCGUAUUGUUAUGGGUUCCACUUUAUUUUCCUAUUUAGUUUAUGAUUAACAUGAAAUUUGUUUUUGGCUUUCGUGUGAUAGUAUUACAGAAACAUUGUUAGAGUAUUCUUGAUUAAAAUUUUAGAAUAAUCCAAGUUAGCCUGUACUGCAGCGAAACACCACCAACUUCGUGUUCGACAAUAGUUCACUCUACUUCAGAGACACUACAAGAGCUUUUUUUGGCUUUUUGGGACCAAUCACUAAUCAUAAGCCUUUACCUACUUAAAUUAACUCGACGAAAAUAUUCUCUAGGCUCAUCAUGAACACCUUCCCUUUUCAUAGUCGGGUACAUGAUAGCGGAAGCAUUACCGGUGAUCUGGUGAUCUGCUUCAUGUUUAGUGCCUUAGUGGAUAUCUAAUUGUAUAAAAUAUGAAAGAAAAAAAUUGGAAACAAAUUUUGUUUGCCUUUGGUUUGGCCUAGUUUCGGCGCUGGCCUAGUAGGCAUGUUGUUUUCUGUAGAAUUCUAGAAUUUUAAAAUAAGUGCGAGCUUCGAUUUUUAUUAGGUUUUUGCUUAUUCUCUAGAUGACUAGAUGAAAACUGAAUUCAUAUGUAUCUAGCUGAUGUCUUCUUAAGAGGAAGAGUUGUAAUUUUUAAAAAUACGCUAUUAUAAUCUGUAAAUAUUUAAUGUUCAUACGUUUUCAACGUCUGAGUAGAUUCAUCGAUUCACAUCUUCGCUGCCUUGAAUUUAGAUUUGUUAAAUAAUUCCAUGUCUGAUCAUUUUCACCGCACAAUCUUUUAUUCGAUUUUGUUAAUUAGAUGUGUGUUUUUAUUUUUGUCCCAACUACAUCUGUCUGAGUUGAAGGCUGGUCGGUGUAGGGAGACAGUUUUCACAGGCUUUGAUCGUCUUAGGGAAGCAAGGAAUGUGAAACAAGGUUCAGAUGAAGAGCUUAUUGGGAUCGAUUUGGUUGUGGUUGAUGAGAAGGUAUCUUUUCCUCCAGAGAAUCUGUAAGUUAAACUGUUUAAGAAAAUUUUGUUCGCUAUAGUUUGAUCGACUUUUACGUAAAGUAGACGAGGCUCAUCCAGAGAUCUAUUAGAGUCCACCGGUUUACCUUCCAACACCUCCACAAAGAUAGCGGGAUUUUAUGAACUGAGUUCAUUCUCAUUCGACCUGACCAGGAGUAAUCAGUUCUUUAAACUGCCCACAUCAGCUGUACAACUCCAUUCGUGUUUGUUAGUGUUUUCAAUGGGAAAAGUGUGGUGGAGAGCUUUGCUUCCUAUGCAAGUAUCAGAAGCAGCAGCUCAAAUCUGGACCAAGUCAAACCCAGAAAAUAUUGUGUUCAAGCUGGGGGUUUACUAAACGAAUUUCAGAUCACGUUCAAGAUGUAUAUGGAAAGAUGUUACUGCAACGAAGCCACGGAAAGUGAAAUCUCAUGGAGAACAUAUUUCAGGCUUACCCUAUUGCCAAAUAAUUUUUGCUUCUGUGUUACUUGCUGCAUAUAACCGAUCGUGUAGUUUGAAAAAAUAGUUAAAAGGGUGGUCUUUGAAUCCCCAAAUAGCUUGAGUUUACCAAAGUGGGAAAACCAAGCUCCAACGCUUUUUUAAUCCUUGAAUCAUCUUCUAAUUCAUUUUUUAUUUUCUGUUCAA